This 103-nucleotide small RNA is filed under the name Salmonella enterica subsp. enterica serovar Virchow. Its description in RNAcentral is "partial RtT sRNA". It matches the Rfam family "RtT RNA", at positions 24 to 130 of the family's 130-position model. Rfam says of the family: This family represents a bacterial cis-regulatory element known as RtT RNA. The exact function of RtT is unknown although it is thought that it may be involved in changing the cellular response in relation to amino acid starvation. Lineage: Bacteria; Pseudomonadati; Pseudomonadota; Gammaproteobacteria; Enterobacterales; Enterobacteriaceae. The record is from RNAcentral.
CCGAACCUGCCGCAGGUUCGGGUCUCACGUAGUGAGACAACGGAGCCGCUUGCGGCGACGGCCCGAAGGGCGAGCGAAGCGAGUCAUCCUGCACGACCCACCA